CGCGUAGGCGGGGCUGCAAGUCAGUCGUGAAAUACCGGAGCUUAACUCCGGGGCUGCGAUUGAAACUGUAGUUCUUGAGUAUCGGAGAGGAAAGCGGAAUUCCUAGUGUAGCGGUGAAAUGCGUAGAUAUUAGGAGGAACACCAGUGGCGAAGGCGGCUUUCUGGACGACAACUGACGCUGAGGCGCGAAAGUGUGGGGAGCAAACA
Molecule: ribosomal RNA, 207 nt
Filed under: uncultured bacterium
Lineage: Bacteria
Description: partial 16S ribosomal RNA
Rfam family: Bacterial small subunit ribosomal RNA
Source: RNAcentral